RNAcentral lists this RNase P RNA (376 nucleotides) under Syntrophaceae bacterium CG2_30_58_14. Its description in RNAcentral is "RNase P RNA component class A". It matches the Rfam family "Bacterial RNase P class A". From Rfam's summary of the family: Ribonuclease P (RNase P) is a ubiquitous endoribonuclease, found in archaea, bacteria and eukarya as well as chloroplasts and mitochondria. Its best characterised activity is the generation of mature 5'-ends of tRNAs by cleaving the 5'-leader elements of precursor-tRNAs. RNAcentral also lists the same sequence under 2 other names. The record is from RNAcentral. Lineage: Bacteria; Pseudomonadati; Thermodesulfobacteriota; Syntrophia; Syntrophales; Syntrophaceae.
GGAGCAGAGCGGAUGAUCGCCGGUCCGGGUGACCGGAGCGGAGGAAAGUCCGAACUCCACAGGGCAGGAUGGUCGCUAACGGCGACUGGGGGCAACCCUAAGGAAAGUGCCACAGAAAAGAUACCGCCCCUCCGCUUCAGGAGGGGUAAGGGUGAAAAGGCGAGGUAAGAGCUCACCAGUUUCCCGGGUGACCGGGAAAGCUUGGUAAACCCCAUCCGGAGCAAGACCAAAUAGGAGAACGGGGCGGCCCGCCCCCAUGUUCUCGGGUUGUGUCGCUUGAGGCGGCCGGCAACGGCCGUCCUAAGAGGAAUGAUCAUCGCCGCCCCCCGGGCGACCGGGAGGCGGAACAGGAUUCGGCUUACGAUCUGCUCGGACA